UUGGAGAUGGGAGGAAAACCCCAGAGGAAUAUUCUGGGUAAAACCCACGGAAUCAGGUAGGGACUGAUAUGAAACAAUUUAGUCUUUAAGUCAUUAAAUUAAGCGUUUCCCAUGUCGACGUCGCAUAGGUACUUUAUGUCUUUAUUUUUUACAAGGGUUAAAUUGUGCCAGAGAAGCUAGUUUCUUAAAUAAUUUAAAUAAUUUAUUCACUUAGAAAGCGCAGAAUUUCAUGCAAAUCUGUUCAAAUGCGCUGUACAAUGAAGACAUUAAACUUGGUCGAGCGAAUGGAAUGCAAGGGCGCCUCAAGCAGCCGCCAAACGACACACUUUCACAGGAGACAAUGAGAAGCAGUCAUAGUUCUAGAUAUGGGAGGAAAACCCUCGAGAAGAAAUUGCUGGGUAAAACGGAAUCAGGUGGGGAUUGAAAACCCAAUCCACGUGUGGACCCAGCUGGGAAUCGAGCGAGGAAAGAACUUUGCCAACCCGACUACCCGUUCAUAUCCCAUUGCAAUGAAAUCGACUAAAAGUCGCCCAUAACAUUUCCAAUCCUGUUUAUUUUCUCAGCUCAAAUUUGACGACGUUGUUCGCAGUAUGUCAGGUUUUAAUUUUUCCCCUGAAUCCGUGAAAAUGUGCUGUAGGAAAAAAGAUGGACUUUUAUAUCAUUCAGAAAUUUGCUCGCAAUUGUCUCCGGAUUUACGCCCUCACGGGUUGAACACGAAUGAAUGCAGCGAGGUUGUGUAUGAUAACACGCCUGAAACGAAAUGUGAAGUAGUAAAUGUCUAAAAUGAUCAAGCUUGGCAUAAAUUAGCUGUCAUAGUAAAUGAUGGAACUCCUUUAGUAGAAAUCUUUCGUUAAAUCCCUGAGAGAGAAUUUGUUUCACAUCAACGGCCUGGAAAUUUCAUUAAAAUAUCCUGUGGAAGGACUUUCAAUCGAUAUUGUUUGAGGCCCGACUUGUGGGGGAUAGCAGACGCACAGGUAGCCAUCUCGUCAUCAUUUGAUACCAAGGUUAGGGAGGAAAUGAUCGGCUAAGUGCUGCUUACGGGUUUCAUAUCUAUCACAGAUGUUGCUCUUAGCUAAUUACAUUGCAAAUCGAUGACAUUCCUAUGGAGAUUUAAUUUCCUAAUGCCCGCGUUGAGGCUUGAAUAUUGUCAGGCCACCUCGUUUUUUUACGCUCUUCAUGCCCAUUAAAGCUAUUACUAAUCCAUCCCGUUCGCCCCUCAGGACUUGAGAACUCGCAGAGUAUUUUCCCUUGACAGAGCACGCGUAUAAUGAAAAGACACAUAUUUUCAGGCUAGCUUUCCGUAUAGGUCAAAGCAUUUUCAAAGAUCAGUGUUACAAUAUCGGCCAGUCAGCUUCUGUAUCAAAUCUAACACAGAAAUUACGCUUUUCGCCAAAAAGUACUGUACCAAUGCAAACUACAUUUUGUGCUAGACAUCGUUACAUGAUUAAACAAUAUACAGCUGUUGAGAGAAUAAAUCUGAAGAUAUGCCUCUAGAAAAGCAAUUAAAACGAGCCUGAAACUCAAAGUAAUCAAAUCCAUAUUCAAGAUUGGCACACAUUUAAUUUUAUUUUUGUGUGUAUCGAAAGCCGUUGCCCAAAGGCAUGUCUGAAAAUACAGGAAUUGAUUGACUAAAUUCCAACCUGUUAAAUGAUGCCAAGUGUAACCAUUGAAAUGGUUGAAAAAAAAUUGAAAAGCGAAGAAUUUUAAGUUUUUUCUUUCAUCAAUAAUGUAAACGUUUGCAUUUGAAGAUUAGAGUCGACUCUGAUAGAGUUCGAAUUAUUGUGGUACUGGUAUGCCGCUUUAUGGCACAUAAUGAAUGGGUAACGUCGUUUGAGACCGGCUCGGGAAUGGACGCCGAUAAUGUUCCUCACUUUCGGCUCAGGCACUUUCAGCUUCCAUUCUCCUGAACUUGUCUGAAAUACCGGCCAAGCACAUACUACGAUAGGCCGUGUCCAAAUCACUUGGCUACGGCUGGAAAUUACGCUCGAGUUUAUGGCAGUAUGUUAUGUAUAUAUGUAUUUCAAAUAUAUAUUUUCAAUUAAUUAUGAGUGCAGCUGUUGCGUUUGUUGAGAAAAAUAGGUGGUAUUUUGUUGAAUUUUCGAGAAAACACAAAAUUACGAUUACACAAACUUGCUUACGACAUAAUUGCAGGCAACGUAGCUGAAUCAGUGGGUGUGCUGAGGGGUUGGAACGGAUUUGGGGUUUGGGUUAUAAAGCUCACUUUUUCGCCACUGAGAACCACGGUAGGUCCACACCUGAUCAGUAUUCAAAGUAUAACUUACAAGGUGAAUUGUGAUUAUUAUAGAACUCGUCAGACGGCUGCAGUCAAAAAAAGAAAGUAAAUGUACAAACAAAGAGAACGAGCCAGAACUCAAAAGGUGCAUAAAGAUUUACUUUUUAAAAACUUUAAUUAGGUGGGUUCCUUGGUUGGGGAUUUUCUUUCAGCUUCACCAAUCACCAGUGGAGCUACGCUUGACUGUAGAACCAGUUAUCGUCAAUACAUGUACCAACACCCCCCUAAAAAAAGCUGUGUAAAUUAAUGCAAGAGGCAUCUUAUUGUUGGUGUUUGCUAAGAUUUAAAUUGCCGUUUCUGCACAGAUAAAAUGUGGACGUCGUAAGUCAUUUUCAAAUUAACAUCUUAACAAGGAGUCGUAUGCACACAGCAAAAUCAUUGUCGUUCAGCUUUGGAUAACCAUAGGGGAAAAAUGACAAAAUGGAACCGCCGACGAAACCCGAGUGGUAGAGUGGAGGCACACAACGGUCUUUGUGAACAGGAUUUUGAGGUAUACAAUCCUGAUUUUUGCCCUGUUCGUAUAGGUUGAUUUCACGCAUCAGAUACUGAAGAUGCAGCUUUUACUCCCAAAGUGUGACACAAACGAGACCGGUGCAUUUGGGCUUAAGGCACGUCUUGCCAUCUCUGAAAUGAGCUGCUGUAAAUUAGAGCUGAACGCCGUAGACGUGCCGUCCACGAUAUCACACGUGUUACCUGUUGACUCUUACCGCCUACAAUAAUCAUUUCUGGCUGGCUGAUAAAGUCGUCUUGGCCUAAUUCAAAAACAUAUCUGAUCUGCAUCGAUGUUGUCUAAUCAUGAAGCAUAGGCAAAGAAAAAUCGGAUAAAGUAUGCAAAGACAUCUACUGGAGUGAGACGCAGAGCGUGUCACGCGCUUCUCUACAUGUCCCAUUCAAUGUCGUAGAGAACUUGUUGCGUGCCGGAAGUGACGGGUGUACGCAUUUACCGUCUAAUGCGAUAAGAGGUAGUGCGAAGGCGGCAGUUGCGCCACUACUCAGUUUGCGCUCUGCCGCCCAUGCGUUGACUCCAGCUUGAACCUGAGACUGCUGGAGACAAUAAUUGCGACGUUUUCCCCAUAACGAGAUUUCGACGUUCUAGUGGGUGUAUCCAACGCUCUUUAAGAACUAUUUCAGCUUCCUUCGCACCACUGAGUAGACCACUGGACUUUUUAAAACCUUGUUGAGAAACGAUUCUCAUCUCAUUUAAGUCGGUAGUAUGAUAGAUCAAUCAUCAUAUUCAUUAGCAGUAUUCAUUUAAACUGCUUGCAGCUUUCUGACCAACCAGUCUGAGUUCACACUCUCGCUCACUUGCACCUGUUUCAAUUCGCACAGCAUACCGGUUGGCGUUUUUUUUCUAGUAUCAGCUUCAUAGAGAAGCGAAGAACUCACCAACGUCUUCUGUUAUUACUUUGACGAACGAUAUCACAAGCUUGAUUUUUGUUGGCGGAAAUGAUGGGAACAAGACCAACAGUCGCUUUGGUUUUUCUACUGUCGUUUUUACUUUUUUGGAGCAAAGACGUCGAUGCAGCUUCUUGCAGCGACUGCAAAACCAGGAUGUGUAACCUACACUGUCAGGCUCUUGCGGGUAAGAGAUCUGAGGUAUCAAGUCGAGACCAUCUAAAUGAACUUCACCAGAAUAAGCCAUCUCCGGGGAUUGAAUGGACGCGGAACCAGAGGUGCACACUUGAUGCUUGGUUUCAAGAAUUACCGCUCGAUUGGCAGAGACACAUUAUCGAGUUAUUUCAGCUAGCCUUAGCAUACACGGAGCCGUUGUAGAUUGAAGACGAGUGACCGUAUAUCUGCCGUAUACACUAUUGGAACUGAUUGCCUGCAUACGCAGUCAACUGCAACUUGCAUGGAGUCUACACUUCACCCUGGAUACUCAUUGUGUAGCAUUCUGCCACAGGAGGGCAGUAUUAAAAAUGACUAUGGCAUCUUGACUGACGCUUUACUGAGUGAUGACUUCCUCCAUAACCUACGAACUUAUUUAAUUAAUGCACUGUCCCUGUGCACCGCAACUGUUCCAGCAAAAGGCACGCUCUUGAGAUCCCACUGGGAUGUUAUAUUUUUCACAUGCAGUUAAUCUUGACAGGAACUUCGCGAUUGAAUUUAUCAGCAUGCGCUCAGUCCUCUACGAAACACACUGGGAUGAUUAUCAAUGUGAAGAACCCAUCUGAUUUUUCAGCGUUUUGGGAUCAAGGGGUGCAUUCUACUCACUCAUACGACGUCAGUAUUUCCGAAUGAUUUCCAUUGGAUUAUUGCAACUGUCCAGUGCCAGUUCCUUUGCAGGCUUAAGAGAUUUGUAUGUUGUAUUGAUUUGACAAAACAAGCUCUAUGUCUGCAAAAGGAUUACUGGGUUCAAGAAAAGUAUUCUACAGUAGUCUUGUAUAGUCUUGUAAAAGACCCAUUGAAGAAUGAAAAAUUACUUAAUUUAACGACCGAAAAUAGUUUCUUUUACACUGUAAAAAAUGGUCAGUGUUGGACAUUUGUUAUUUGCCCAACCUUGGUUAAAGUUACCACGUUUUGAUUAAUUUCCAUCAUUGUUGGUGAAACAUUGAUCAACGAUUGGGAAGAAUUUCCACAAGGUUGGGAAGUUGAUAUAUACACCAACAUUGGGUAAAAUAUCAACCAAAAAUUGGCCAACCUUUUCACAGAAAACAAACAUUUCUUGUAUGAAAAGACGACUCUUUUAAAUUACAUCGAUUACUUUACCACGAAUGAAUGAUCAAUUAUUUUCCCCUAAUCCCCUGAGUGCCCAAAGAUAUUUAUAGCACUUAGUUUACCUGAUACUCGAAGUAAGUCGGCAGUGCCACACACCUACCUUCGAUGCAUGGGUGUUGCAAAGUUUUUUCAGGGGGAAGGGGGUGAACCACUUUUAUUCCAGAGGAUUUCCAGCGGAAGCAAGAUCAUCAGCUAUGAAAUGAUAAAUAUUAACAGGGGGGGCUAACAUGUUUGAAGCACGUUGCUGAUUUGGUCCCCAUUUAUCUCCAUUUUUCAUUUCUGCUUUCCCCCAUUCUUUUCCUAUUCUAUUUUUCAUUUUUCCCCGGGAUUCGUGUUCAAUUGUGUCACGUGUAUAUUUAGUACCGAGUUGAAUUUAAGAGACACGGUCGUGAAUUGUGAUACAGCAGGUACUUUCUAAACCCUUCAAACCUAAACGACAGUUUCGGCAGUGCCAAAGUAGGCCUACGUCGGACCUUUCCUGUCUGAAACAUUGGAAAUUCAGUGACAUCAAAUUGCUCGUAAUUAAGUUCAACAAUUAGUUAUUGUUGUAGGUCGCUCCACUGCAGACUUGUUUGAUUUUUAGGGCGUAUAAUGAAGUCAUUUACGAUGUCGACUUUCCCGAGGCGAUGCACCCGUAAAAACAUGAAUUUAACAUGAAUUGAAGAAGAUUAACAUAUUUUCUCGGUAUGUAUGCGACACGCUACGUCAGUCGCCAUCGCUUACUUCCUGCUGUCAUAUGUUUCGAUUCACUAACGUCAGACAUUAGCCCAUAACCUGAGCAAUGAUGGCAAAUACAUAUUCAUCGUAGCAUGAUGAUUCUGUCAGAUGUACUCUGUACUCUGUCAUUAAAGUUCUCUCCGACAAACGAGCUAUAUUCCUGGGGUAUUCAUACGCCCUAAUCUUUGUUUAGAAGAUCAAACUUUGCAACUAUAACACGCCCAUGCUGCAAAACCGUUCCAAAUUGAUCAGAAUAUUUUUAUGCUAGAAUGGUUGACUAUACGACAUUUAUUGCAGUUGUUAUAUCAUAGUAUAAUUUUGUGUUACCUUCAAUUGCUAUUACCUUGACCAAAGCUCACCUAUGACAAAAACCACUAAUUAUACAAUGAGUGACUUUGAUACAAAGAACAGGAUAAUUUUCAGACACAGCUUAUAAUAAUCUGAGUAAUCAAAUUAUGCAAAUUUAUUAACGCAUUGAAACUUCAUUACUUCAUUACAAAUCGACUGUAUUGACAGUUUAGACUUUUAACCUUGUUACAUUAAUAUUCACAUUUUAUGCAGUGUCCAGAAAGUACUAGGAUGAUUAGGCCUAAACAAAUACACUUGCUCUUUUUUCCCUUGUUGAUUAUAAUACAAGUACGAAUGAUUAUUGUAUCAAUGUUGUAUGCAUAAUCUCAUUUUCCCGACUCUAACAGUUUGAUUGUGAUAUAUUAAGUCGUGUCAGAUUUGAACUAAACUGAUGUAACAGUAAUACAUUAAAUGUCAGGAUACGUGUCAUCGAUAUCAUA
This 6516-nucleotide long non-coding RNA is filed under the name Acanthaster planci (crown-of-thorns starfish). RNAcentral's name for it is "uncharacterized LOC110977376, transcript variant X1". The record is from RNAcentral. Lineage: Eukaryota; Metazoa; Echinodermata; Asteroidea; Valvatida; Acanthasteridae.